AGACCCGAAACCCGGUGAUCUAGCCAUGGGCAGGUUGAAGGUUGGGUAACACUAACUGGAGGACCGAACCGACUAAUGUUGAAAAAUUAGCGGAUGACCUGUGGCUGGGGGUGAAAGGCCAAUCAAACCGGGAGAUAGCUGGUUCUCCCCGAAAGCUAUUUAGGUAGCGCCUCGUGAAUUCAUCUCCGGGGGUAGAGCACUGUUUCGGCUAGGGGGCCAUCCCGGCUUACCAACCCGAUGCAAACUGCGAAUACCGGAGAAUGUUAUCACGGGAGACACACGGCGGGUGCUAACGUCCGUCGUGAAGAGGGAAACAACCCAGACCGCCAGCUAAGGUCCCAAAGUCAUGGUUAAGUGGGAAACGAUGUGGGAAGGCCCAGACAGCCAGGAUGUUGGCUUAGAAGCAGCCAUCAUUUAAAGAAAGCGUAAUAGCUCACUGGUCGAGUCGGCCUGCGCGGAAGAUGUAACGGGGCUAAACCAUGCACCGAAGCUGCGGCAGCGACACUCAGGUGUUGUUGGGUAGGGGAGCGUUCUGUAAGCCUGUGAAGGUGUGUCGUGAGGCAUGCUGGAGGUAUCAGAAGUGCGAAUGCUGACAUAAGUAACGAUAAAGCGGGUGAAAAGCCCGCUCGCCGGAAGACCAAGGGUUCCUGUCCAACGUUAAUCGGGGCAGGGUGAGUCGACCCCUAAGGCGAGGCCGAAAGGCGUAGUCGAUGGGAAACGGGUUAAUAUUCCCGUACUUGGUGUUACUGCGAAGGGGGGACGGAGAAGGCUAUGUUGGCCGGGCGACGGUUGUCCCGGUUUAAGCGUGUAGGUGUGUGUUCCAGGUAAAUCCGGUUCACUUUAACACUGAGGCGUGAUGACGAGGCACUACGGUGCUGAAGCAACAAAUGCCCUGCUUCCAGGAAAAGCCUCUAAGCAUCAGGUAACAUCAAAUCGUACCCCAAACCGACACAGGUGGUCAGGUAGAGAAUACCAAGGCGCUUGAGAGAACUCGGGUGAAGGAACUAGGCAAAAUGGUGCCGUAACUUCGGGAGAAGGCACGCUGACACGUAGGUGAAGUGAUUUACUCAUGGAGCUGAAGUCAGUCGAAGAUACCAGCUGGCUGCAACUGUUUAUUAAAAACACAGCACUGUGCAAACACGAAAGUGGACGUAUACGGUGUGACGCCUGCCCGGUGCCGGAAGGUUAAUUGAUGGGGUCAGCGCAAGCGAAGCUCCUGAUCGAAGCCCCGGUAAACGGCGGCCGUAACUAUAACGGUCCUAAGGUAGCGAAAUUCCUUGUCGGGUAAGUUCCGACCUGCACGAAUGGCGUAAUGAUGGCCAGGCUGUCUCCACCCGAGACUCAGUGAAAUUGAACUCGCUGUGAAGAUGCAGUGUACCCGCGGCAAGACGGAAAGACCCCGUGAACCUUUACUAUAGCUUGACACUGAACAUUGAGCCUUGAUGUGUAGGAUAGGUGGGAGGCUUUGAAGCGUGGACGCCAGUCUGCGUGGAGCCGACCUUGAAAUACCACCCUUUAAUGUUUGAUGUUCUAACGUGGACCCGUGAUCCGGGUUGCGGACAGUGUCUGGUGGGUAGUUUGACUGGGGCGGUCUCCUCCUAAAGAGUAACGGAGGAGCACGAAGGUUGGCUAAUCCUGGUCGGACAUCAGGAGGUUAGUGCAAUGGCAUAAGCCAGCUUGACUGCGAGCGUGACGGCGCGAGCAGGUGCGAAAGCAGGUCAUAGUGAUCCGGUGGUUCUGAAUGGAAGGGCCAUCGCUCAACGGAUAAAAGGUACUCCGGGGAUAACAGGCUGAUACCGCCCAAGAGUUCAUAUCGACGGCGGUGUUUGGCACCUCGAUGUCGGCUCAUCACAUCCUGGGGCUGAAGUAGGUCCCAAGGGUAUGGCUGUUCGCCAUUUAAAGUGGUACGCGAGCUGGGUUUAGAACGUCGUGAGACAGUUCGGUCCCUAUCUGCCGUGGGCGCUGGAGAACUGAGGGGGGCUGCUCCUAGUACGAGAGGACCGGAGUGGACGCAUCACUGGUGUUCGGGUUGUCAUGCCAAUGGCACUGCCCGGUAGCUAAAUGCGGAAGAGAUAAGUGCUGAAAGCAUCUAAGCACGAAACUUGCCCCGAGAUGAGUUCUCCCUGAGACUUUAGGUCUCCUGAAGGAACGUUGAAGACGACGACGUUGAUAGGCCGGGUGUGUAAGCGCAGCGAUGCGUUGAGCUAACCGGUACUAAUGAACCGUGAGGCUUAACCUUACAACGCCGAAGCUGUU
This 2256-nucleotide ribosomal RNA is filed under the name Salmonella enterica subsp. enterica serovar Thompson. RNAcentral's name for it is "partial 23S ribosomal RNA". It matches the Rfam family "Bacterial large subunit ribosomal RNA", at positions 711 to 2925 of the family's 2925-position model. Lineage: Bacteria; Pseudomonadati; Pseudomonadota; Gammaproteobacteria; Enterobacterales; Enterobacteriaceae. The record is from RNAcentral.